RNAcentral lists this transfer RNA (69 nucleotides) under Coptotriche turpinia. Its description in RNAcentral is "tRNA-Met". It matches the Rfam family "tRNA". From Rfam's summary of the family: Transfer RNA (tRNA) molecules are approximately 80 nucleotides in length. Their secondary structure includes four short double-helical elements and three loops (D, anti-codon, and T loops). The record is from RNAcentral. Lineage: Eukaryota; Metazoa; Arthropoda; Insecta; Lepidoptera; Tischeriidae.
UAAAAAGUAAGCUAAAAAAGCUAUUGAGUUCAUACCUCAAUUAUAAAGGUAAAAUUCCUUUCUUUUUAG